RNAcentral lists this ribosomal RNA (515 nucleotides) under uncultured bacterium. RNAcentral describes it as "partial 16S ribosomal RNA". It matches the Rfam family "Bacterial small subunit ribosomal RNA", at positions 28 to 523 of the family's 1533-position model. The record is from RNAcentral.
GAUGAACGCUGGCGGCGUGCCUAAUACAUGCAAGUCGAGCGAAUGGAUUAAGAGCUUGCUCUUAUGAAGUUAGCGGCGGACGGGUGAGUAACACGUGGGUAACCUGCCCAUAAGACUGGGAUAACUCCGGGAAACCGGGGCUAAUACCGGAUAACAUUUUGAACCGCAUGGUUCGAAAUUGAAAGGCGGCUUCGGCUGUCACUUAUGGAUGGACCCGCGUCGCAUUAGCUAGUCGGUGAGGUAACGGCUCACCAAGGCAACGAUGCGUAGCCGACCUGAGAGGGGGAUCGGCCACACUGGGACUGAGACACGGCCCAGACUCCUACGGGAGGCAGCAGUAGGGAAUCUUCCGCAAUGGACGAAAGUCUGACGGAGCAACGCCGCGUGAGUGAUGAAGGCUUUCGGGUCGUAAAACUCUGUUGUUAGGGAAGAACUAGUGCUAGUUGAAUAAGCUGGCACCUUGACGGUACCUAACCAGAAAGCCACGGCUAACUACGUGCCAGCCGCCGCAGUAA